GAUGAACGCUGGCGGCGUGCCUAAUACAUGCAAGUCGAACGCUGGAACUCUAGCUUGCUAGAUUGAAGGAGUGGCGAACGGGUGAGUAAUACAUAAGCAACCUACCCACGAAGACUGGGAUAAUCUCUGGAAACGGGGACUAAUACCGGAUAGGUAAUCGGAAGGCAUCUUCUGAUUAUUAAGGGUUAAAAACACUGGUGGAUGGGCUUAUGGCGCAUUAGUUAGUUGGUGAGGUAACGGCCCACCAAGACGAUGAUGCGUAGCCGGCCUGAGAGGGUGAACGGCCACAUUGGGACUGAGACACGGCCCAGACUCCUACGGGAGGCAGCAGUAGGGAAUUUUCGGCAAUGGGGGAAACCCUGACCGAGCAACGCCGCGUGAGUGAUGACGGCCUUCGGGUUGUAAAGCUCUGUUGUAAGGGAAGAACGGUAGAUAGAGAAUAUCUAAAUGACGGUACCUUACCAGAAAGCCACGGCUAACUACGUG
RNAcentral lists this ribosomal RNA (486 nucleotides) under uncultured bacterium. RNAcentral's name for it is "partial 16S ribosomal RNA". It matches the Rfam family "Bacterial small subunit ribosomal RNA", at positions 28 to 507 of the family's 1533-position model. The record is from RNAcentral.